GCUUUUCAAACUAACAAACAACUAAAACUAAGUUUAGCUCAUAAAUCAUUCAUUGCUACCUUUACCAUUAACAAUAUUGUCAACAGAUCAUACAAUGUCCGGAGGAAAAUUAAACCAAAAACACUGAGGGAAAGCUAAACUUAAUAUGAACAACCCAUAAGAUUUAUCCUAUGCUAUAUAUUUCAAAAGCAUCCAAUGCAACAAUCAAAAAACAAAAGGGAAGAACUCAAGACUUCAUAGCAAACACCCACUUAUAUGCACAGAAAACUCCCAAAAACAAAAUAUAGCCACCAAUUUAACAAUACAACAACCUGACAUCCAACAGGGAUGAAGACAAUUGCCAGCGAAAUUAUAUUCAUUCUCUUAAAGAUUAAGCAAAACCCAUUUUUCAACAAAUAGAGUAAAUCUCAAAAUCCAACUAAAAGGGGUUUCUUGAACUCCUUUUCUUUUCUUUUUUUUUUUCAAAUUGGUUUCACUACUUAUCCUCACACAGUAAUCAAUAGUUCCUCAAUCUCUCAUCAAAACACCACGCGGAACUGCGGCGCAUCGGCAUCACUAGCAGGGAGGAUUUCCCAGCGGCAAGGCUCGAGCUCGUCAGACACCGGGCAGUACCCGGCCAGAGUAACCUUAUCGGUCGAAGCAGCGAUGGAGCCAAACUCGAACACGGUGACGUUCUUGGCGGGUCGGGGUACUUGCACGGCGCCAUUCAUGCCGGGGACCUCGGAGGCUGAGAAUUCCGGUUUGGAGCUCGGAGACGAUUUGGAUUCAGGCUUGGGGCUGCCUUUGAACCAGGAGAGGAGACCCAUUGCUUUAAUUUGGGG
RNAcentral lists this unclassified non-coding RNA (821 nucleotides) under Hevea brasiliensis (rubber tree). The record is from RNAcentral. Lineage: Eukaryota; Viridiplantae; Streptophyta; Magnoliopsida; Malpighiales; Euphorbiaceae.